This 305-nucleotide ribosomal RNA is filed under the name uncultured bacterium. Its description in RNAcentral is "bacterial SSU rRNA". It matches the Rfam family "Bacterial small subunit ribosomal RNA", at positions 336 to 639 of the family's 1533-position model. The record is from RNAcentral.
UUCCUACGGGGGGCAGCAGUGAGGAAUAUUGGUCAAUGGUCGGGAGACUGAACCAGCCAAGCCGCGUGAGGGAGGAAGGUACAGAGUAUCGUAAACCUCUUUUGUCAGGGAACAAAGGCGGGGACGUGUCCCCGGAUGAGUGUACCUGAAGAAAAAGCAUCGGCUAACUCCGUGCCAGCAGCCGCGGUAAUACGGAGGAUGCGAGCGUUAUCCGGAUUUAUUGGGUUUAAAGGGUGCGCAGGCGGAGGCACAAGUCAGCGGUAAAAUCGCGGGGCUCAACCCCGCUCCGCCGUUGAAACUGUGUC